This 1505-nucleotide long non-coding RNA is filed under the name Vigna radiata. Its description in RNAcentral is "long non-coding RNA (VRAD_LNC000444)". Lineage: Eukaryota; Viridiplantae; Streptophyta; Magnoliopsida; Fabales; Fabaceae. The record is from RNAcentral.
UCUGCUUCAUUUUCUUACGGACCAGUUCUCCAACAUCGACAAAGCUGAUUGGAUCCUCUGCAACACAUUAUAUGACAUGGAUAAAGAGGUAUGAAUGUUAAGGUUCUAUUAUUUUCACGUCGGAAAAGAUGCUUUUAUAAGAAUAAAAUCAUCGUAACAAAAGUUAAUUAUUGUAUUUAAAAAUAAAAAAGAAAAAAGAAAAAGACAGGCCAGUAUUAAAUGCUUGCAAUAAAAACGAAAAAAAGUAACAGUAUUAUCAAACACUUUUAUAUUCAUCUCACAUAUAAUAUAAUAAUAAAAUAGUAAUAAAAGUGUGAAGUUUUGUAUUUUUUCAAAAAAGAAAAAAAAAUAAAAGUAAAAAAAGAAUAAUUUCAAAUGAAUGUAAAAAAUUUAAAUGUAUCAAAAAAUAUUUUUUAAACAAAAUAAUAAUCUGAAACAGAUUUUAAAAUAUUAUUUUGCAUCACACACGUAUUUUUUUUAAUUGAUUCAUUAUUUAAUUUUUAAUUAAUUAACAUAUUUUAAAUUCAAUGAAAUGAUAACUAAGAGUUAUUUUUUUAAUUGAUUCAUUAUUUAAUUGUUACUAUAUUAACAUAUUUUAAAUUCAAUGAAAAGAUAACAAGUAUAUUAUAUUAAAAUAAUGUAAAAAAAAAGUUGUAUUAAGAUAUAAUUGUACUAAUAAAAAUUUCUUGUGUUAAAGUAUAGUUUUCAUUUUCACAUUCAUUGUUUUAUCCUUAAUCUCUCUCUUGUUUUACACAUACAAAAUUUAAUCUUUUUAAGCAUCAAGAUAUCUGUAAAACUAGAUGCAGCACUUGAUCAGAGACAUUUUGGUCACUAAAAAUGUUAACUUUUGUAUUAAUAAAGAAAGAGAAAAAUUAAAAAAUAAAAUAAUGAAAAUUAAAUAUAUGCAAAAGUUUUGUUGGAUGUUAAAAUAAUAAUAUCUAAAAUAUGAGAUUGUUAAAAGCAAGAUAAAAUUAUAUGUAUGAAAGGGAACAAAAAUCUCUCCUUGUUAGACCAAUUUUAUAAGUUUAAUAUACCUUGGUUUUUAAUUGGUUCCCGAGGUUAUUUCCAUUUUAACUUUUAUUGCGCCCAACUCUCCUUCCUCCACACGGCCUACCUCAACCGCAAACAACUUUUCAGCCGUUCCCUUUCGCCGCCUUCGCCGCCUUCGCCGCCCUGAACUCCCUCGAAACCCUCAGCCUAGCCUCGAACUCUUCCCUCUCACCCUGGAUUUUCCCCACCGAUCUCACCUCCUCCACUAACCUAUCGACCUCUCCAUAAACACCGACCCAAAUCCCGACGAGGAGACCCUCAACGCUGUUAACAACAACGACCACACCGCCAAGCGCAAGCUCGAGGACGACUUCGAUGUGCUUACGGCGUCAAAGGCCGCGGAUCUCGCCAAACCGUUAAGGGAAGUGCAGAUUCCGUACAAGAUCCACAUCGUGAAGGACCACGAUAUAAAGUAGAGACUGUGUUUGGAGGUGGAGAGGCUCGGGCUGAGAAUG